This 253-nucleotide ribosomal RNA is filed under the name uncultured bacterium. RNAcentral describes it as "partial 16S ribosomal RNA". It matches the Rfam family "Bacterial small subunit ribosomal RNA", at positions 524 to 776 of the family's 1533-position model. The record is from RNAcentral.
UACGUAGGGGGCAAGCGUUGUCCGGAAUCAUUGGGCGUAAAGAGCGCGUAGGCGGCCCGAUAAGUCCGCUGUGAAAGUCAAGGGCUCAACCCUUGAAUGCCGGUGGAUACUGUCGGGCUAGAGUCCGGAAGAGGCGAGUGGAAUUCCUGGUGUAGCGGUGAAAUGCGCAGAUAUCGGGAAGAACACCUAUGGCGAAGGCAGCUCUCUGGGACGGUACUGACGCUGAGACGCGAAAGCGUGGGGAGCGAACAGG